UCGUGCUAAGCGGGGAAUUAGCGGUGCCCUGUACUCGCAAUCCGCUACAGCGAGGCUGAACUCCUCUCAGAGGCCGCACGUUCUCAUGGUCUGCCCUAAGUAAGUGGUGUUGACAUUCGGGUUCCACGCAACGGAAUCUCGUGAAUCCUGUCAGGUCCGGAAGGAAGCAGCAGUAAGCGAGUCCUUCCGUGUGCCGUGGAGUUGCCUGAAUCGAGCAAACUGCUUAGGUAACGCUUGAGGGUGUCCGGUCGAAGAGAGGUGCACGG
Molecule: signal recognition particle RNA, 266 nt
Filed under: Alkalicoccus daliensis
Lineage: Bacteria; Bacillati; Bacillota; Bacilli; Caryophanales; Bacillaceae
Description: Bacillus sp. DLS13 Bacterial large signal recognition particle RNA
Rfam family: Bacterial large signal recognition particle RNA
About the family: The signal recognition particle (SRP) is a universally conserved ribonucleoprotein involved in the co-translational targeting of proteins to membranes.
Source: Rfam by way of RNAcentral